Long non-coding RNA from Mustela erminea (ermine), 947 nucleotides. RefSeq lists it as uncharacterized. Lineage: Eukaryota; Metazoa; Chordata; Mammalia; Carnivora; Mustelidae. The transcript is spliced from 4 exons. The record is from RefSeq and is a predicted model, not a curated record.
CAAAACACAGUUUUCAUCCUCUCUUCACUCUUGUCCCAGCCCCUGGUGGAGAUACUCACGGGCGACAAGUGGACUUGCCGGGAGCAUUGACAGGAUAUGGAGAGGGACAGUUGCUCUUUCUAGAUGGGCUGUUAGAUGUCUCUGCUCCGAAGGACCAGCUCUGUUUCACCUGGCCGUUGGCCUGCAGUGUCUGUUGUGGUCUCGGCCAAGCUGUCAUCACUAGAAGUCAUCACAAAAGUCAUGCUUGAGAAGAUCUUGAAAGGAGUCCUUUGGCCUACUCUUUGGAGCAGUCCUACCUCAGCUCAUCACACGAAAAGAAUGAUGAACUUGAAAUCCUGCUGUAUGUCCUUGGCACUCCACAUAAUAAAGAAAGUUCCUUCCCAGUUCAUCUGAAACAAUCUUAUCAUCCUUUGGACUCCACAUACCUCCAGCUUGUCUGAUCGGAGUGGUGGAUCCUUGAAGUCUUCCUCGGCUCCCGUGGGUGGACAAUGACCCUGCCUGUCUACUCGUGGUCACUAUGGUGAGCUCUCCAGGUGGGGGCUGGUCACAUUCAAUAUGUUAGGACCAAAGAAGAAGGCACCAGUGACCAGAUGCAUCAGGAACAAAGAGGGAGGAAAGCAGGGUCCUGAAAAUAGAAAUCACAUCAAAAAAUAGAUGACGAGUUGAUAAUGCCUUGAGGCCUUUGUUCAGGAACACUCUGGCACUAUAAAGGGAAGAAUGACAGCACAGUAUUCUUCUGUGAAGCAUGAGUUGGUUUUUCUUCAAGAGUUCUUCCCAAAGAAGGCCUUGUGGGUUGUGGCUAACUCUGUUUUCCAUUUUUAUCUAGAUUUGUUCUUUAACGCAAAUGUUAUUCUUUUUCCAAGGAUUGCUGUAUCAUCACAUUAAGAAUAAGAUAAACAAACUUGACAAAAAUUCACUGGAAACAAUAAGUGUGGUAAUUGCAUAUU